CACCGAGAAAGGCAAACUCCACCGAAAGGGGAGGACGCAAAAUCUCCAGCCUACGGCCCUCGGGCUAAGGUAGUGGGAUUGCCGAA
RNAcentral lists this non-coding RNA (86 nucleotides) under Desulfobacca sp. RNAcentral's name for it is "c-di-GMP sequence". It matches the Rfam family "c-di-GMP-I riboswitch aptamer". Rfam says of the family: GEMM was predicted in a large-scale screen for bacterial structured RNA regulatory elements. The record is from RNAcentral. Lineage: Bacteria; Pseudomonadati; Thermodesulfobacteriota; Desulfobaccia; Desulfobaccales; Desulfobaccaceae.